CAUGGGGAGAUGGUCGUGCCAAGAUACUCGACAACGGACAACUUCUCACUUUAUCCCUUGACAAAGCCUCUGGUUCUGGAUUUCAAUCCAAGAAUGAAUAUCUCUUUGGCAACAUUGAUAUGCAGCUCAAGCUUGUACCUGGAAACUCUGCAGGAACGGUCACUGCUUACUAUGUAAGUUAUAAAUAAUUGUUAUUGUCUUAGUGCUAAUGCUACAAUAAUAUAUCUAGUCUAAUAAUAAUUUGAACCUUUCAAUACAUAAUCAUGUGUUAAUUAUUUUUACCAUGGCAUGCAGUUGUCAUCAAAAGGAUCAAAUUGGGAUGAGAUUGACUUUGAAUUCUUAGGGAAUGUGAGUGGAGAACCAUACACUCUUCACACCAAUGUGUUUUGUCAAGGAAAAGGAAAUAGAGAACAACAAUUCCA
RNAcentral lists this long non-coding RNA (422 nucleotides) under Medicago truncatula (barrel medic). Its description in RNAcentral is "long non-coding RNA (MTRU_LNC002603)". The record is from RNAcentral. Lineage: Eukaryota; Viridiplantae; Streptophyta; Magnoliopsida; Fabales; Fabaceae.